GCCAUCCAGGAUGACGAGAUGAUCUCCUACAUCAUCCAUGGGCUGGACAUGGACUACCAGCCUCUUGUCUCGGCUCUCCACACCCACGUCACGCCCGUCUCCCUCGACGAACUCUUUGCCAUGCUCAGCAACUUCGAUC
This is a non-coding RNA of Triticum urartu, 139 nucleotides long. NCBI's taxonomy places the organism in Eukaryota, Viridiplantae, Streptophyta, Magnoliopsida, Poales, Poaceae. The record is from Rfam.